Non-coding RNA from Xenopus laevis (African clawed frog), 78 nucleotides. Lineage: Eukaryota; Metazoa; Chordata; Amphibia; Anura; Pipidae. The record is from Rfam.
UUUUGCUUUCAGCUUCUUUACAGUGUUGCCUUGUGGCAUGGAGUUCAAGCAGCAUUGUACAGGGCUAUCAAAGCAUUA